CCUACGGGCGGCAGCAGUGGGGAAUAUUGCGCAAUGGGCGAAAGCCUGACGCAGCGACGCCGCGUGAGGGAUGAAGGUCUUCGGAUCGUAAACCUCUGUCAGCAGGGAAGAACGGUCACUGUGCUAAUCAGCAGUGAAUUGACGGUACCUGCAAAGGAAGCACCGGCUAACUCCGUGCCAGCAGCCGCGGUAAUACGGAGGGUGCGAGCGUUAAUCGGAAUUACUGGGCGUAAAGCGCUCGUAGGCGGUAUGUCAAGUUAAUGGGGAAAUCCCCGGGCUGAACGUGGGAACUGCCUUUGAAACUGGGAAACUGGAGUGUGUGAGAGGAUAGUGGAAUUCCAGGUGUAGGAGUGAAAUCCGUAGAUAUCAGGAGGAACAUCAGUGGCGAAGGCGACUAUCUGGCACAUAACUGACGCUGAGGAGCGAAAGCGUGGGUAGCAAACAGGAUUAGAUACCCUUGUAGUC
This 465-nucleotide ribosomal RNA is filed under the name uncultured bacterium. RNAcentral describes it as "partial 16S ribosomal RNA". It matches the Rfam family "Bacterial small subunit ribosomal RNA", at positions 338 to 795 of the family's 1533-position model. The record is from RNAcentral.